This 240-nucleotide ribosomal RNA is filed under the name uncultured bacterium. RNAcentral's name for it is "partial 16S ribosomal RNA". It matches the Rfam family "Bacterial small subunit ribosomal RNA", at positions 537 to 776 of the family's 1533-position model. The record is from RNAcentral.
AGCGUUGUUCGGAAUUACUGGGCGUAAAGGGCGAGUAGGUGGCCAUCUAAGUCAGACGUGAAAUCCCCCGGCUUAACCUGGGAACUGCGUCUGAUACUGGACGGCUUGAGUAUGGGAGAGGAACGUAGAAUUCCAGGUGUAGCGGUGAAAUGCGUAGAUAUCUGGAGGAAUACCGGUGGCGAAGGCGGCGUUCGGGACCAUUACUGACACUGAAUCGCGAAAGCUAGGGGAGCAAACGGG